Sardina pilchardus (European sardine) is the source of this 543-nucleotide long non-coding RNA. RefSeq lists it as uncharacterized. Lineage: Eukaryota; Metazoa; Chordata; Actinopteri; Clupeiformes; Clupeidae. The record is from RefSeq and is a predicted model, not a curated record. The transcript is spliced from 3 exons.
CUUUCACAGAUUUGGUGAACCUUACCUUAACCGCAUGCAUUUCACUAAAUGGGAAAGAGAUGCAAAACAUACUAGUCCUUUGCCUCGUACUGGCCUCUUUUCAAUUCUGUGCAUCUGAUGGCAACAACACAUUUGAUGCAGCACUCGAUGGCAAUGUCACUUUGAUCUGGAAAUUUCCAUUCAAGUUGGACCCUGAAAGUAAUUUAGUUGUGCACAUCCAGAAAAGUGAAGAAUCUUCAGUGGACAUUAUUCAUUUAGAUCAAAAAGGACUAAAAGUAUUCCCAGACUUCGUUGGAAGAGUUGAACUACUGCAAAAUUCUUUUCCAAAUGGAGUUGUUGCUCUAAAGAUGGACAACGUCAGCGUCCCAGACACUGGAGCAUACAAGUGUUUUAUAUUGAUGUCUUCUAAAAAAUCAGAUGCACUCUAUGGAGAUCAGGGACUGUGUCAUUUAAAAGUUCGAGCCCCAUGGAGCCCAGUCCAUAAAAGCAAUGUGUCCAUUGGGAGUGGGGUAUACACCCUUCGCUGUGACGCUGAAGGGUAUC